Molecule: ribosomal RNA, 524 nt
Filed under: uncultured bacterium
Lineage: Bacteria
Description: partial 16S ribosomal RNA
Rfam family: Bacterial small subunit ribosomal RNA
Source: RNAcentral
GACGAACGCUGGCGGCGUGCCUAAUACAUGCAAGUCGAGCGCAGGAAGCUGACGGAACUCUUCGGAGGGAAGGCAGUGGAAUGAGCGGCGGACGGGUGAGUAACACGUAAGGAACCUGCCUCAAGGAUUGGGAUAACUCCGAGAAAUCGGAGCUAAUACCGGAUAGUUCAUCGGACCGCAUGGUCCGUUGAUGAAAGGCGCGCCGGCGUCACCUUGAGAUGGCCUUGCGGUGCAUUAGCUAGUUGGUGGGGUAACGGCCCUCCAAGGCGACGAUGCAUAGCCGACCUGAGAGGGUGAUCGGCCACACUGGGACUGAGACACGGCCCAGACUCCUACGGGAGGCAGCAGUAGGGAAUCUUCCACAAUGGACGAAAGUCUGAUGGAGCAACGCCGCGUGAGUGAUGAAGGUUUUCGGAUCGUAAAACUCUGUUGUAAGGGAAGAACACGUACGAGAGGAAAUGCUCGUACCUUGACGGUACCUUACGAGAAAGCCACGGCUAACUACGUGCCAGCAGCCGCCGUAA